Molecule: long non-coding RNA, 7433 nt
Organism: Megachile rotundata (alfalfa leafcutting bee)
Lineage: Eukaryota; Metazoa; Arthropoda; Insecta; Hymenoptera; Megachilidae
Source: RefSeq, a predicted model, not a curated record
CAAAAUAAAUCACACAGUCUUUAAAAUUUGCUUUACCAAGUACGUCAAAUCUAGUGGAUCACCCACAUCGCCUGGUAGAUGGCAUCCUGACAGAAGCAGGAAGUCACGUGUCUUCAUUGUGUCAGUGGUACGCCGUGAAUUAAGCCGCAGUCUGUGCAGUAUCCUCCUGCGCAUUCAUGAUGUCCUAGUACCGUUGACAUCUGCGCGAUUUAUCUUUCUUCAGCCGGGACAAAUUGAAUUUACUCGCCACAGGAAGGGCUCGUCUGUCAUCCUCCAGACGACGACCGUGUCCGUUUCCUGCUGUCCUGAUUGCGCGUAUGCUCGCACUAUAAAAACAAAACCUGUCUGACGUGACACGGACAAGCGGGUGUCACGUGCGUGUACCGGACAACAGGUGUUUUGAUUCGCGACGAACGUAUGCUUACAGGUAUAUGCAUAUUGUACAUACAGAUUCAUUGCUUAAGUAUUUAAUUAUUGAUUGCGUAUUAGUGAAGGCGUUUUACCGAUGGCGUAUUACUGAUGACGCAUUAGUGAUGGUGUAUGCAAUUAGUGCAUUUGGGGACGCCAUUUUGUAAACAUUCUGUAAGCACAUUGCUUACAGUGCUUCCCAUAAGGGUUUUGUAGAUUAACAUGAAAGUGUAGUACUGUUUAAACAGUGACAGUAUUUUUGAACAUAACUGUGCAAAGGUGAUAGGUUAAGUGACAACCCACUGUACAAAAAUGAUAGGUUAAGGGACAACCCACUGUGACAACCCACUAUGCAAAACUUGAUAGGUUAAGUGACAAGUCUUUAACUAUGAGAGUACUAUUAGCACUGUUUACAGUCCAUAAAGCUACAUAAAAAAAUCAAUGCAAUUCAUACAAGACUAUAUGUAUAGACUUCUCUUCAGUCUCUCCAGUUAAAAAUAAUCGAAUGCGGCACGCGCCGUCCCCUGCGCGCCAGCCAAUAUGCGAGGUACGCACUGCGGACAGUAGUGGUGUAUGAAACAACAACGUCGAUGUUGGUGAAUGCCAGUUACCUUCAGGAGACCAGAAAGUCGACACACGAUCCGUCCACGUAUACGCGAUCAUGGUACCCUGGUAAUGUUCGUGUCUACUCGUCUCUGUCCGUACGACAAGCAAACAUAAUUUACGAGGUCCGCGACCUCUCACGUUCGCAGCCCCGAUGUUGGGGAAUGACGAGCCGAAGCGAGGAAUGCGGCCGUGAAAUGGAGGAGGAUUAAGCGUUCUUGGAUAACAGAAGAUCAUAACGCAGACUGGCUUUCUUUGUGGCCAGGGAUAAUUGAGGAUCUCUGGGAGUCAAGGAAAUUGAUAAGCAAAAAUUCUUUUAGUUCAAAUUAUAUAUUUUCACAUAAUCUAAAAUGUGUCGUACAAACUACAUAGUAUGCUUAUGGUCAUAUGAUGAUAGUGGAUUAUGCAUACUGUAAUUGUUAUUAUAAAUGUAUGAAAAAUUAUUUUUAUGAACGGUUCAAAUUCUUGUCACAUAACUUAAAAUGUCAUGCAAACUACAUACUAUACUUAUGAUCAUAUGAUAGUAGAUUAUGCAUACUAUAAUUGUGAUUAUAAAUGUAUGACAAAUUAUUUUCAUGAACUGUAUGUCUCAGCCUAUGAGACAGAUAAUGACAUAACCUAUAAUUUCCGUCAUUUCUCUUCGUCUUUUAUUUUUUGUUUAAACUGUUUUUUUAAGUUACAUAAUUUUACAGUGACGAUUGCCUUCAAAGCACAAAGUCCUUCAGGACAUGGUUCCCUAAUACCACUGACAUCCAAGCGAUUUGUCUUGCUUCCCCACCAGGCAAUCGCGUUUUACGACAGGGUUUUAUGUGCCUCCGACGAAUGGCGAGGCCCGUUUCCUGUUAACGCUGAAAGCACCGGAAAGGCAGGUCCUGGUGGACCUCGAUGCUUCCAUGCUUCCCUGAUGCUACAAUAUUCCGAAUUGUCAGAAAAAAAGUGCUCGGAAUGUCGGUCGAUUUACCCCUCCUCAUUUGUAUAAUCCACUUAUUUUUUCGGUGAUGAGGAACGUGAAACAUUGUGGCGGAUAUCGUUACAUUAUUUUAAGCUACUUCCUCUUGUAAAUUGUUACAAAGACAACUGUAUAAAUAUUAAUAGUGGAGAGAUAUGAAUGUUUAUUGUAAUGUCCGAGGGGAUGUGUAUUGAUUGGCCUAAGUCUGUGAUUGGCACGAGUGCCUAUUGGAUUUUAUGGUGAUUAUGAACAGCGGUGUGUACAUCUAGAGAGAAGUAUGUCUAAGACCAAGCCUAAGCUAGGACGCAAGAUUAAAUAUUCAUCAUAUACUUCAAUCCUGAAUUGUAAAAGGGUGUCUUUCUGAAACGGUGGAAGUGGAUAUCCUAUUGAACGGCUCCCCCAAGCCGAAGCCACAAAGCCAGCUAGAAUUAACAGCGCACAGUCGUAAAGGGGAAGCAAAUGCCGAUUGACCUCCUCAUCGUCCUACAAGCUGGAUAGAGUUUCUAUGAAUGUUCCGUCGCCGCCCACAACCCUUUCUCGUUUCUUCGCAUUUUGUCUCCUACGAUUUCCGCGGAAUGCGUGGAACGAUCGAGCAUUCAUAAACACCCGUGCGUUCAACUCGAAUCCUCUUGGAGACAAGUGGUCGGGAAAUGGAUUAAAUCGAGGGAGGAAGAGAAGACCACGAAAGCUUGAGAUUCUCGAACGUUAUAACUUCCUGCUCCCUGUCACCGCAUUCCUUUUAUGCGGAGUCACUCGAGCGAAACGACGGAAUUAGAAUUCAUUUGUAUCGUCGUCAUUCUGUCUAAAUAAACCUUUCUCUUGCUUUCGUGCGAUUAAGGACGACGGUUAUGUAUUAUUUAUGAUCUGCUUUUGUGGUUUCAGGAUAUGCUUUGGACAUACUUGGUACAUACGAUAGCUGGUUUUAUCGAUUCAUCUAUUACCAAGGGUUUAUUUGGAUUUGUUAAGAUGCUUUGGAGAUAUUAUCAGCUAAUCGAUAGCAUGAAGCACUUUAGGGAUGUGAGAUAUGAAGUACGAGGUAUUCCUUCAAAAGGUAUUUUCACAUAGGACAGAAUGGGUUACCAAGACACUGUAAUGUGGGGUUGUAUCAGGUGCUCAGCUAAAAAAAUUCAACUUCUACAUGCAGAUCAACUUGUGAAUGCAGGAAUAUUUCUUAGGACUGAACCUUGCAACCUAACAAACUAGACCCUUUACGACUUCUGCUAUUCGAUCGUAAUUAUAAAAAUUUCUUCCUUUUAUUCUAUCAGAUAUUUAUAUUAUAUCGAUUCCCCGCAGCAAAAUAUGAACCUGUCUCAAGGGCUAUACCGAAGGGUAGGCGUCGAACGUGACGGAUCGAUCGUGACAAGCGACCCCCGACAUGCUACCCUGUUCCAGCACCCCAAGAUUCUUUUGUUCUCCGCAAAUUGUCGUAGGUUAUGAUUUUCCUUGGCCGUGAUCCGAACAACAGAUUUCUCGGUCUCAUAUUACCCUGUCACAUGGAGGAGUUGCUCCAUUGUCCUCAGCUUUCUUGGGUCGUUCAAGACACCGCAUCUCCGCGUAUCCAUGCAAAGCAUUCUUCUUGCAUCGUCGUUCUAUCCGCACGGAACAGAGCGAUCCGGUGUUCCCGACGUACACAAAAUGGCCGGGUCAGGUAAAAAUUCAGUUGGACCACUUCUCGACUCCUUUGGAAUGUUAACUCCACCGCGAUCAUUCACUCCUUGCACCCGGCUUCUGCAAAUUACUCUUCGCUCAUGAAAUCCUGAUACUUAAUGGUACUCAACUGUCACCGAUCAUCGCUGAUUGAUUUAUGCCCUUGACCCGGAGGUUUAUAGAUAGAAGGGUCUUAUGCAAUGGGAAGCUACUGGUGUGGCAACGUUAUCUUUGCAAUUGGGUAAGCGGUGUUUUGAAACCCUAUUCUUGCUUUUGGAUCCGUAGAUUUCCGAGUAGAGAAAAUAAGUGGUGCUCGAUAUCUGUGAAUGUGGGACUUGUGCUUACCCUAGGGCCUAGGCUAAUCUGUAGUACCCCAGGUCCUAGGACUUUGAUUGUCCUGGCUUCUUAUGUCCUAGAGCUCUUUUGACUUUCUCCAACUUCUCAUGUUUUUUAAAAAUGACUACUUUUCAAAGUCUAAUGAAUUUCAUUGUGUUACUAUUUCAGAUUGUAGCCAGCAUACUCUCGCAUUUCUCGAGUACCCAAACCAUUCCAUUUCUGAAGGACGCAGUCAGUCAUAUCACAUCGAAUAUCGAGAAAAAAAAAACUGGACCAACUUUUUUCGAUACCAGGAGGUCAUAGAACGUCCGUGGUCAGCCCGUCAACGGCAGGUGGGCCGUUCGUGGGGUUUCCAAUCAAUCGGUACCUUCCGGUGUUAUCAGAGUAACAUAAGUCCGGCGGGAAAACCGAACUUUCCUAUCGUUCGCAAGAAAAACGUGCGUGUCCCCCGAUGCGUCGCUCCUGAUAAACGGCGACGCGACCAAGACUUUUACGAGCCCCGAAAGAAAUCGUGGUAAGAAAAGAAGAUUCAUGGGGUGUCGGUGGUUCGAGACAACCCCCGUCCUUCAUUGCUUUCACAUAUGAGAACGUCUGGACGAUUGGAAUCGAAGGAAAGGGGUUUUAGUCGCUCAAGUGCUUCGAGUCACACAUCGUGACAGGGAUGCUAUGAGGGUUCAGGAGGUGUCCUAAUAUUCGUGGGGUCGUUCACCCCAAAAACAUUUCGAACGGGAGUGGUGGACGUCAAUUGAUUUUUUCUGGAUGAUUGAAUUUUAGCGGCGGUUUUGGUAUUCGUUGUAUUGCACUCGGUAUAAAUUAGUGGCUGGAUUCUCAUUUGUGUAAUUAGGGGGUUCAGGGGAGACUGUUUAAUUCCCUCACAGUUUAUUUCUCGGAGAAGAAAAUAUUGAACUUUAGCGUUUCAUAUUGAACUUUAACACCUUAAGUAGGUGCAUAUGUUACAUAUGAAAGUUUAGUAUAAGGUAUUCUUUUAGAUUCAAACUGAGUUUGUAUACAUUUAUACAUAUUUUGUUUAUUUUUGAAAUUCAUGUUAAACAUAUUCAGAGAGGUUGAAGACCGUUUGACAAUAGUGAGGUUAUGUCUAAGUUAAUCUGAUUUUUUAUAAAGCAAGAAAAUACAUAGCAGAGAAAUAGCAAAUUACUGAUUCACCAAUUUAAGUGUAGCAUCUAGUUAAAUAUAGUUAAACUAUAUUUGCAAUGUACUUAUUAUCAUUGUUGUAUAACAAAAAAAUUUACGGUUCUAAUUAUCAAAACCCGUCAGGCUUACUUUUCCCUUUCGUUAAGGUCCGAUCAAUAUCUGUUCGAACCUGCGCACUUGCAGCGACUCUCGCUUUCACCCUUCGAUUUCCAAGCCUUUCAGUCUGGUAGCUCCUUCGCACUAGACGCCCAUUAGUCUGACAGCUUGAAACCGACAAAAGAACCGAAAUGUAUGAUUCAAACCAAAUAAGCAGACGUAUAAAAAUGCUUCUUGCAAACAAACACCCCUCAUACGUUGCAAAAAUCUGAAGUAUCAUAUGUAUAAAAUAUCUGAAAAACCAAAUAUAAAAUAUCUGAAAUAACCAAAUAUCUUAAAGGAUGAAACUGACAAAGAAUAUCAGACCAUUUCACACAGUCAUAGAGUGACGUUAGAGUAACAUGGCUGCCAUAAAAAUUAAUCCAUCCUUGCAACGCAAUUAUCCAUAAGUCAUGCAAUGUCUGAUAGUCUACAUACAUACACCUAAUACAAACUUGAUAAACAGUAUGAAACUCAAAGUCCACAAUCGCCUGUCAAAACUGUCCAUUAACGCAUCAGAUCGAUGGCAUCAUAACUGGCUGAAGCACAAGGAGAGAAUGAAGCCUAAGGAGGUCUCAGCAUCCAGCUAAGUCGUUCUAACGGCCAGCCAUCCGAGCCCUACAUCCCGGAGUCCCAUUCAAAUGCGCCGAGUUAAAGGGUCGAGUUCCGAUCGUCCCGAUAAUUGGAAGGGCUAUCGGCAGUCUAUUGGUUUGAUCCCUCGUUCCCAGGCUACCAGAAGCACGCCGGUGGUCGUACGAAAUUCAUCUGUGUCCCACCGUGUACAUACACACCUCUCCGUCAGUGUGGCGCUCUUCAAGGUUCGUUGGACGCGCUUUCGAAAGCGUGAUCGGACAGGUCGGAAGUGGACCUGGAUUGGUACGUAUGUACUCGUAGGCGGACUACCCCGUGACAGGAAUAAUUUAAUCCGGUGCCCGAGGGAAAGGGUUGAAUAAAAUAUAUUCACAUAUUCGUAGCAGGCUGGUAUGCGACACCAGGAGGCUCAACGGUUGGACAAAGCCCUUUGGGGCGUUAUGGUGCUCUGGUGACUCGUCCUGUUCUUCGGAAACUGUCGUUUCCACUUCGGACCACAGGAAGGGAAACGGGUGGAGAAUUAAUGGGUGGAGAGGAUUCGGGUUACUGGUGUGGGAGAGAAAGGGUUCGUCUCGUCGGGAUUCCACCCACGCUUUUUUCACAGGAUAGCAUCCUCGCGAGGAACCCCCUCGACUCGCGGAGCUGCUUAGCGUUCCAGGAUUUCGAUUACUUGGACUUGAUUAGCGUCAAACUAUCACCAUCUUCUCUCAUACCAAAAAUUUAGCAUUUGAGAGAUUUGAGAGAUGUUUAAACAAAAAUGAGACAGUGUUGCAAAGUGAGACAGUGUUAUACAGUGAGACAGUGUUUUAAAAUGACAUAGUGCUUCACAUAAGUGCAUACAUGCUGUGUUAUGUCAUUUAUGACGUCCUACCCUGAGCUAUCAAGGUACACACAGUCUGCCAUUCACAUUUGUUCAAGAUGUGUCAUCCAUCAAGACAGUGGACUAUGAAAACAGUCCUAUGAAAGUUAGCCUAACCCCAUGCUGCCCCAAAUGAAAGGGUUCCGUCUUCACCUUCCGCCUGCAAACCUCCUACGUCCUGAUGGCUGCCUGAACAUUGUCACCUGCGGUGUAAUUAAUAUUCAUGUAUACCCUCAUGAAUAUGAUCCUACACGACACGUGCACAAUUGUAAUCAGAUUAUUCCAGAGCCCCCAUGCCAAACAUCCUCCGGAGGAUUUGAACUCGUUUCAUCCUACACAGAUUCGGUGGAUUGUGCAGGUAUCAGGGUGUCAUGAAAGUCCCAACCGAUUAUUGGAUGACACACAAAAGUGUUAGGGCAACAUAAAUCCAAGCUUCUUGCGCGUGAAAGGGGAUUAAGGAUGUAACAACGAACGAGACAAUUCUGGACAAUACAAGAGUAAACAAGGGGAUCAGGACAGGAUGAACGGCGAGGAGGAUGGACGGACGAAUUGGGGUGCGACAAACUAGGGGUGGCACGAAUUGCGGUUCAUUCUCCGCCAGGAGGCGGUUCGGAGGGUUAAUGGAUUGUGUCAUCGGGGUUCGGAUAGGGGAGGUUUCAUACCGUUUGCCGAGUCUUAAUGUAGGAUUUAUGUAUCGAUUUUAGAGUUGUCUUAUUUCUGACGUCUGUAGAUGUUAAUAAAAUUAAUUUUUGA